This 431-nucleotide ribosomal RNA is filed under the name uncultured bacterium. Its description in RNAcentral is "partial 16S ribosomal RNA". It matches the Rfam family "Bacterial small subunit ribosomal RNA", at positions 338 to 795 of the family's 1533-position model. The record is from RNAcentral.
CCUACGGGAGGCAGCAGUGGGGAAUUUUGGACAAUGGGGGAAACCCUGAUCCAGCCAUCCCGCGUGUAUGAUGAAGGCCUUCGGGUUGUAAAGUACUUUUGGCAGAGAAGCGGUAUCUGCAGAAUAAGCACCGGCUAACUACGUGCCAGCAGCCGCGGUAAUACGUAGGGUGCAAGCGUUAAUCGGAAUUACUGGGCGUAAAGCGUGUGUAGGCGGUUCGGAAAGAAAGAUGUGAAAUCCCAGGGCUCAACCUUGGAACUGCAUUUUUAACUGCCGAGCUAGAGUAUGUCAGAGGGGGGUAGAAUUCCACGUGUAGCAGUGAAAUGCGUAGAUAUGUGGAGGAAUACCGAUGGCGAAGGCAGCCCCCUGGGAUAUCUGACGCUCAGACACGAAAGCGUGGGGAGCAAACAGGAUUAGAUACCCUUGUAGUC